This is a small nucleolar RNA of Gossypium raimondii (Peruvian cotton), 106 nucleotides long. It matches the Rfam family "Plant small nucleolar RNA R71". From Rfam's summary of the family: R71 is a member of the C/D box family of snoRNAs containing the C (UGAUGA) and D (CUGA) box motifs. The record is from Rfam. NCBI's taxonomy places the organism in Eukaryota, Viridiplantae, Streptophyta, Magnoliopsida, Malvales, Malvaceae.
AAUCCGUGGUGCGUGCAUUUUUGGAUCAAUGUCUUGAAACAUUCCCAAGCCUCGUAAAGACUUUCCCCUUCCAAUUGUGUAAACAUGGCAAUCUCUCUUCUUAAUU